RNAcentral lists this ribosomal RNA (849 nucleotides) under uncultured Planctomyces sp. Its description in RNAcentral is "bacterial SSU rRNA". It matches the Rfam family "Bacterial small subunit ribosomal RNA", at positions 666 to 1533 of the family's 1533-position model. The record is from RNAcentral. Lineage: Bacteria; Pseudomonadati; Planctomycetota; Planctomycetia; Planctomycetales; Planctomycetaceae.
ACCAGACGUGGACGGGGAAAUGCUAAGUAUCGUUGGAACUCCGAAGUUACAACCAACUUGCUGGGCCGCGCCGGCCUGUGACACACGAACGCACGGGGGGUGCCCGGGAUUACGAACCCCGGUAGUCUGGCCCUAAAACGAUGUCAAUAGAUCCGCGGACUUUUGACGGUUUUCCGGUUGAAAGCAAAAGGGCUAAGUGGCCCGCUUGGGAAGUACGGUGGCAAGGGUAAAAAUUCAAAGGAAUUGACGGGGGCUCACCACAAGCGGUGGAGCAUGUGGUUCAAUUCGAAGCAACGCGCAGAACCUUACCUGGGCUUGACAUGCCAGGAUUAUCCCCAUGAAAGUGGGGUAGGCCCCGCAAGGGGUACAACUGGUACAGGUGCUGCAUGGCUGUCGUCAGCUCGUGUCGUGAGAUGUCGGGUUAAGUCCCUUAACGAGCGAAACCUUUGCCCUUAGUUACCAGCGGGUAGUGCCGGGGACUCUAAGGGGACUGCCGGUGUCAAACCGGAGGAAGGUGGAGAUGACGUCAAGUCCUCAUGGCCUUUAUGCCCAGGGCCACACACGUGCUACAAUGGGGUGCAUAGAGCGAACCGAGAGCGCAAGCUGGUGGAAAUCGCACAAAUCACCCCCCAGUUCAGAUCGGAGGCUGCAACUCGCCUCCGUGAAGUUGGAAUCGCUAGUAAUCGCGGAUCAGCUACGCCGCGGUGAAUGUGUUCCUGAGCCUUGUACACACCGCCCGUCAAGUCAUGGGAGCCGGGAAUAGCCGAAGUCGCCUCACCACUGGGGUGCCUACGCUAGGCUCGGUGACUGGGACUAAGUCGUAACAAGGUAAAUCGAAUUCCCGCGGCC